UGGCUCAGAUUGAACGCUGGCGGCGUGCUUAACACAUGCAAGUCGUACGCGAAAGGGACUUCGGUCCCGAGUAAAGUGGCGCACGGGUGAGUAACACGUGGAUGAUCUGCCUCUAUGAUGGGGAUAACAGUUGGAAACGACUGCUAAUACCGAAUACGCUCAUGAUGAACGUUGUGAGGAAAGGUGGCCUCUGCUUGCAAGCUAUCGCAUAGAGAUGAGUCCGCGUCCCAUUAGCUCGUUGGUGGGGUAACGGCCUACCAAGGCAACGAUGGGUAGCCGAUCUGAGAGGAUGAUCGGCCACACUGGAACUGAAACACGGUCCAGACUCCUACGGGAGGCAGCAGUGGGGAAUAUUGCGCAAUGGGCGAAAGCCUGACGCAGCGACGCCGCGUGAGGGAUGAAGGUCUUCGGAUCGUAAACCUCUGUCAGAAGGGAAGAAACUGGGGUGUUCUAAUCAGCAUCCCACUGACGGUACCUUCAAAGGAAGCACCGGCUAACUCCGUGCCAGCAGCCGCGGUAAUACGGAGGGUGCAAGCGUUAAUCGGAAUCACUGGGCGUAAAGCGCACGUAGGCUGUUAUGUAAGUCAGGGGUGAAAGCCCACGGCUCAACCGUGGAACUGCCCUUGAUACUGCACGACUCGAAUCCGGGAGAGGGUGGCGGAAUUCCAGGUGUAGGAGUGAAAUCCGUAGAUAUCUGGAGGAACAUCAGUGGCGAAGGCGGCCACCUGGACCGGUAUGACGC
This 742-nucleotide ribosomal RNA is filed under the name Desulfovibrio piger. RNAcentral describes it as "bacterial SSU rRNA". It matches the Rfam family "Bacterial small subunit ribosomal RNA", at positions 20 to 746 of the family's 1533-position model. The record is from RNAcentral. Lineage: Bacteria; Pseudomonadati; Thermodesulfobacteriota; Desulfovibrionia; Desulfovibrionales; Desulfovibrionaceae.